GGACCCGCACAAGUAGUGGAGCAUGUGGUUUAAUUCGAAGAUACGCGCAGAACCUUACCAACACUUGACAUGUUCGUCGCGACUUUAAGAGAUUAAAGUUUUCGGUUCGGCCGGACGAAACACAGGUGCUGCAUGGCUGUCGUCAGCUCGUGUCGUGAGAUGUUGGUUAAGUCCCGCAACGAGCGCAACCCUCACUUUUAGUUGCCAUCAUUAAGUUGGGCACUCUGAAAGAACUGCCAGUGAUAAGCUGGAGGAAGGUGGGGAUGACGUCAAGUCCUCAUGGCCCUUACGUGUUGGGCUACACACGUGCUACAAUGGUAGUGACAAUGGGUUAAUCCCAAAAAGCUAUCUCAGUU
RNAcentral lists this ribosomal RNA (356 nucleotides) under uncultured bacterium. RNAcentral describes it as "bacterial SSU rRNA". It matches the Rfam family "Bacterial small subunit ribosomal RNA", at positions 917 to 1293 of the family's 1533-position model. The record is from RNAcentral.